UACGUAGGGUGCAGGCGUUAAUCGGAAUUACUGGGCGUAAAGCGUGCGUAGGUGGUGAGUUAAGUCUGUCGUGAAAGCCCCGGGCUCAACCUGGGAAUGGCGAUGGAUACUGGCUCGCUAGAGUGCGGUAGAGGAGAGUGGAAUUCCCGGUGUAGCAGUGAAAUGCGUAGAAAUCGGGAGGAACAUCAGUUGCGAAGGCGGCUCUCUGGACCAGCACUGACACUGAGGCACGAAAGCGUGGGGAGCAAACAGG
Molecule: ribosomal RNA, 253 nt
Filed under: uncultured bacterium
Lineage: Bacteria
Description: partial 16S ribosomal RNA
Rfam family: Bacterial small subunit ribosomal RNA
Source: RNAcentral